AGAAUCAACGCUGGCGGCGUGCCUAACACAUGCAAGUCGCACGAGAAAGGGUAGCAAUACCUGAGUAAGGUGGCGCACGGGUGAGUAACACGUGAAUUAUCUACCUCCGAGUGGGGAAUAACUGAGAGAAAUCUUAGCUAAUACCGCAUAACACUUACGAGUCAAAGCAGCAAUGCGCUUGGAGAGGAGUUCGCGGCAGAUUAGUUAGUUGGCGGGGUAAUGGCCCACCAAGACGAUGAUCUGUA
This 245-nucleotide ribosomal RNA is filed under the name uncultured bacterium. Its description in RNAcentral is "partial small subunit ribosomal RNA". It matches the Rfam family "Bacterial small subunit ribosomal RNA", at positions 26 to 285 of the family's 1533-position model. The record is from RNAcentral.